GCCGAAGUGGUGGAAUUGGUAGACGCACCGGACUCAAAAUCCGGCGGGAGCAAUCCCAUGGGGGUUCGAUUCCCCCCUUCGGCACCA
Molecule: transfer RNA, 87 nt
Filed under: bacterium
Lineage: Bacteria
Also listed under: 5 other names
Description: tRNA-Leu
Rfam family: tRNA
About the family: Transfer RNA (tRNA) molecules are approximately 80 nucleotides in length. Their secondary structure includes four short double-helical elements and three loops (D, anti-codon, and T loops).
Source: RNAcentral